AUAUUGGUCAAUGGAGGCAACUCUGCACCAGCCACGUCGCGUGAAGGAUGCCGGCCCUACGGGUUGUAAACUUCUUUUAUAUAGGAAUAAAUUGAGUCACGUGUGACUUUUUGCAUGUUCUGUAUGAAUCAGGAUCGGCUAACUCCUUUCCAGCAGCCGCGGUAAUACGGAGGAUCCAAGCGUUAUCCGGAUUUAUUGGGUUUAAAGGGUGCGCAGGCGGAAGAUUAAGUCGGCGGUGAAAUUUUGCAGCUCAACUGUAAAAGUGCCAUCGAUACUGGUUGUCUUGAGUGUGGAUGAAGUAGGCGGAAUUUGUGGUGUAGCGGUGAAAUGCAUAGAUAUCACGAGGAACUCCGAUUGCGCAGGCAGCUUACUAGGCCAUAACUGACGCUCAGGCACGAAGGCGUGGGGAUCAAAC
This 415-nucleotide ribosomal RNA is filed under the name uncultured bacterium. RNAcentral describes it as "partial 16S ribosomal RNA". It matches the Rfam family "Bacterial small subunit ribosomal RNA", at positions 361 to 773 of the family's 1533-position model. The record is from RNAcentral.